This 608-nucleotide ribosomal RNA is filed under the name Salmonella enterica. RNAcentral describes it as "partial 23S ribosomal RNA". It matches the Rfam family "Bacterial large subunit ribosomal RNA", at positions 2261 to 2863 of the family's 2925-position model. The record is from RNAcentral. Lineage: Bacteria; Pseudomonadati; Pseudomonadota; Gammaproteobacteria; Enterobacterales; Enterobacteriaceae. RNAcentral also lists the same sequence under 1 other name.
GUGGGUAGUUUGACUGGGGCGGUCUCCUCCUAAAGAGUAACGGAGGAGCACGAAGGUUGGCUAAUCCUGGUCGGACAUCAGGAGGUUAGUGCAAUGGCAUAAGCCAGCUUGACUGCGAGCGUGACGGCGCGAGCAGGUGCGAAAGCAGGUCAUAGUGAUCCGGUGGUUCUGAAUGGAAGGGCCAUCGCUCAACGGAUAAAAGGUACUCCGGGGAUAACAGGCUGAUACCGCCCAAGAGUUCAUAUCGACGGCGGUGUUUGGCACCUCGAUGUCGGCUCAUCACAUCCUGGGGCUGAAGUAGGUCCCAAGGGUAUGGCUGUUCGCCAUUUAAAGUGGUACGCGAGCUGGGUUUAGAACGUCGUGAGACAGUUCGGUCCCUAUCUGCCGUGGGCGCUGGAGAACUGAGGGGGGCUGCUCCUAGUACGAGAGGACCGGAGUGGACGCAUCACUGGUGUUCGGGUUGUCAUGCCAAUGGCACUGCCCGGUAGCUAAAUGCGGAAGAGAUAAGUGCUGAAAGCAUCUAAGCACGAAACUUGCCCCGAGAUGAGUUCUCCCUGAGACUUUAGGUCUCCUGAAGGAACGUUGAAGACGACGACGUUGAUAGGCCG